RNAcentral lists this ribosomal RNA (253 nucleotides) under uncultured bacterium. RNAcentral describes it as "partial 16S ribosomal RNA". It matches the Rfam family "Bacterial small subunit ribosomal RNA", at positions 524 to 776 of the family's 1533-position model. The record is from RNAcentral.
UACGAGGGGGGCAAAUGUUGUUCGGAUUCAUUGGGCGUAAAGGGUGCGUAGGCGGCGCGGUAAGUCGGGUGUGAAAUCUCGGGGCUUAACUCCGAAACUGCAUUCGAUACUGCCGUGCUUGAGGACUGGAGAGGAGACUGGAAUUUACGGUGUAGCAGUGAAAUGCGUAGAGAUCGUAAGGAAGACCAGUGGCGAAGGCGGGUCUCUGGACAGUUCCUGACACUGAGGCACGAAGGCCAGGGGAGCAAACGGG